Molecule: ribosomal RNA, 378 nt
Filed under: uncultured bacterium
Lineage: Bacteria
Description: partial 16S ribosomal RNA
Rfam family: Bacterial small subunit ribosomal RNA
Source: RNAcentral
CCUACGGGCGGCAGCAGUAGGGAAUAUUGCUCAAUGGGGGAAACCCUGAAGCAGCAACGUCGCGUGGAGGAUGACGGUUUUCGGAUUGUAAACUCCUUUUGUUAGGGGAGAUAAUGACGGUAUCUAACGAAUCAGGACCGGCUAACUCCGUGCCAACAGCCGCGGCAAUACGGAGGGUGCAAGCGUUACUCGGAGUCACUGGGCGUAAAGCGCGCGUAGGCGGGAUAGCAAGUCAGUUGUGAAAUCCUAUGGCUUAACCAUAGAACUGCAUUUGAAACUGUUAUUCUAGAGUAGGGGAGAGGUAGGUGGAAUUCGUGGUGUAGGGGUAAAAUCCGUAGAGAUCGAGAGGAAUACUCAUUGCGAAGGCGACCUGCUAGA